RNAcentral lists this ribosomal RNA (526 nucleotides) under uncultured Glomus. Its description in RNAcentral is "LSU rRNA". It matches the Rfam family "Eukaryotic large subunit ribosomal RNA", at positions 288 to 673 of the family's 3401-position model. Lineage: Eukaryota; Fungi; Glomeromycota; Glomeromycetes; Glomerales; Glomeraceae. The record is from RNAcentral.
CAAAAUGGGAGGUAAAUUUCUCCUAAGGCUAAAUAACGGCGAGAGACCGAUAGCGAACAAGUACCGUGAGGGAAAGAUGAAAAGAACUUUGAAAAGAGAGUGAAACAGUAGGUGAAAUUGUUGAAAGGGAAACGAUUGAAGUCAGUCGUACAGACGGGGAAUCAGCCUUUUGAGCGUGAAUUCGUGGGAUUCAAAAAGAUUUUGAUUUUGCGGCAUUUGCGUUUUCUGGGUGUACUUUUCCGUAUUGUAGGUUAGCAUCGGUUUCGAUCGUUACAAAAUGAUCGGAGGAAUGUAGCUUCGACCUCGGUUGAAGUGUUAUAGCCUUUGGUAGAUGUAACGGUUGGGACCGAGGAUUGCAAUGAAUACCCAAACGGGCUAUCCGUCUGGUCUCUGAUUAGUGACUCUGGCAUUGAAAGCGUGCUUACGAUGUUAGAGUAUGCGGUCAAAAGGUUAGAACGGAUUAAAUUUGUUAAGGAUGCUGACGUAAUGGCUUUAAACGACCCGUCUUGAAACACGGACCAAGGAG